RNAcentral lists this ribosomal RNA (208 nucleotides) under uncultured bacterium. Its description in RNAcentral is "partial 16S ribosomal RNA". It matches the Rfam family "Bacterial small subunit ribosomal RNA", at positions 524 to 721 of the family's 1533-position model. The record is from RNAcentral.
UACAGGAGGAGCCAAGCGUUGUCCGGAUUGACUGGGCGUAAAGCGCACGCAGGCGGUCGUCGCGCGUGGGGAUGUGAAAGUCUGGCCCGGCUUAACGGCCAGGCGCCAUCCCAUACGGCGCGACUGGGAGUGAUGCAGAGGUCGGUGGAAUUGCCGGUGUAGUGGUGAAAGUGCGUAGAGAUACGGGCAGGAACACCCAGGGGGAAAC